Molecule: ribosomal RNA, 406 nt
Filed under: uncultured bacterium
Lineage: Bacteria
Description: partial 16S ribosomal RNA
Rfam family: Bacterial small subunit ribosomal RNA
Source: RNAcentral
AUUGAACGCUGGCGGCAGGCUUAACACAUGCACGUCGAGCGAGCGGCGGACGGGUGAGUAAUGUCUGGGAAACUGCCUGAUGGAGGGGGAUAACUACUGGAAACGGUAGCUAAUACCGCAUACCAUCAGAUGUGCCCAGAUGGGAUUAGCUAGUAGGUGGGGUAAGGGCUCACCUAGGCGACGAUCCCUAGCUGGACUGAAAGGAUACCCAGCCAAACUGGAACUGAGACACGGUCCAGAAUCCUACGGGGGGCAGCAGUGGGUAAUAUUGAACAAUGGGCGAAAGACUUAUGCAGCAAUGACGCGUGUGUGAAUAAGGCCUUCAGGUUGUAAAGCACUUUCAGCGAGGAGGCGUUACUCGCAGAAGAAGCACCGGCUAACUCCGUGCCAGCAGCCGCGGUAAUUC